GUUGGUGUGUGCACAUGUGGAAACUGCUUUAGGAGGAGAAGGCAUAACCCCCCUAAAUGCCUACCCGGAGGCAGUGAUGGGCUGGAUGAGGGCUAACAAACAGACUGGAUCCAGAUAAGACAGAGACUUCCUUAUUCACAUGGAGAAAUUUUAGCCCAUCAGUACAACAGAGAAGAACGGAAGGGGGAA
Hemicordylus capensis (graceful crag lizard) is the source of this 189-nucleotide long non-coding RNA. RefSeq lists it as uncharacterized. The transcript is spliced from 3 exons. The record is from RefSeq and is a predicted model, not a curated record. Lineage: Eukaryota; Metazoa; Chordata; Lepidosauria; Squamata; Cordylidae.